RNAcentral lists this long non-coding RNA (343 nucleotides) under Pan troglodytes (chimpanzee). RNAcentral's name for it is "long non-coding RNA NONPTRT014153". The record is from RNAcentral. Lineage: Eukaryota; Metazoa; Chordata; Mammalia; Primates; Hominidae.
AACAGCAGCUGUAGAAGCCUGAGAAGAUGAGAGAGUCAAGUCCUUAGAGGGACUGAAAGCAGAGACAUAACAGCACAAAACGAGAUGGGAAAGUGACGGAGCAACACAUGAGUCUGUAAUGAGUGGGAUUUAGGUGGGCAGCAGCACUUGGUUAUUUACAAGUUCAGGAUCCUCUUUAUAAAGCAAGGAAAGAUUGCUAUCUGUCUCCAGCACUAUGGCGAGAUAAUUAAUAGGAGCACUGCUGGAGACUGAUAGUGCAGGCGGCCGAUACCCGUGGCAGGAGCUCUCGUCAUCUAACUGCCACAGAAUUGUGAAGGUAAAGAAUCUGCAGAAAAGUGGAACA